RNAcentral lists this long non-coding RNA (703 nucleotides) under Papio anubis (olive baboon). Its description in RNAcentral is "lncRNA (ENSPANG00000042144.1)". Lineage: Eukaryota; Metazoa; Chordata; Mammalia; Primates; Cercopithecidae. The record is from RNAcentral.
AUUGGAGACUGAAAAGAAGAGAAGUUAAGGAACUUGUCUAAGAUCAUCAAGCAAAGAAUUUAAAACUUAAGUUUCAAUAUUUUCUUAGAAAACAAGAAAAGUUAGUGAUCUCAUUAUAGAAAUCUGUUGCCCAGGGAAGAGGAAAUGGUGCCAUUUUUUUUUUCAAGAUUUUCUAUUGGGCAUGAAAAUUGCACUAAUUUUUCAGGAUGUUGGAAGAAAUUACAAAAUCUUGAAAACGGACAGACUUGCAGGGCCGCUUACCAGGAGACAGCUUUUACAAUGAGUGCACUGGCAAGAGGAAGGAAAAAGUCAUUUUGCUGCUUCAUGUGUUGUCUACACGGCGACUGUUACAGUGGCUUCAGCAGAGUCAGUGGUGGUGUCAAGAGUAUCUGGAGCAGAGAGGGCAGCUUAGUUCAUAUGAAGCAGCAAUAGCAACAGAAGAAAAGGCAGUGACAUCACCCUCAGCUUGUUGGGGAAUGUCUGCAACCAUCAGCUCUCCUCUGUUGCUAAGAGUCAGCUCCAGUACAGCAUUGUCUUCUGUUAAAUGAAGCAGCAUGAAUGAACCCAGCUGAAACUGUGGCAGAAACUGCCUUGGAAACUUGCAAAAUCAUGAGAAAUAUAAAUCAUUGUUUUAAGUAACUAAGUUUUUGGGUAUUCAGAUACGCAUCAAAGGACUAAAGGAAGCAAUGAACAACAAAGAGAC